UCUCUGUGAAUUCACAGAAGGUGACUCGUCACAACACUUCAAUGAGGAGCUGUGAAUGGACGGAGUUAUGAAACUGUCCUCCACGCCUCCAGCCAGGAGUACCAUGAGAGGUGAGAGGUAACUGCCCUGAGCAACAGCCUCAACAGAAGGGUGCUUUAAAUCUAUUGCCAACCAGAAAUGGACCAUCCUGCUGUAGAACAUCUCAGAUGAUGCCCACGUAGUGCAGACAGAAAACCACCAUUCAGAUCAUGCCAAGUCACAAACAACGUAUUCCACAACUCUGACACAGAAGACGAUGGACAGAAAGACAAAUGAGUUGACCAGACAAUGGAUCAGGAUUCUAACAGUCAUCUCUGCGGGGUUAUACUGAAGCAGCUCAUCAGGGAGUUCAGUUUGGGUAAAGCCCUGGCUGCCAUUUCACAUGGCCUACAC
This 432-nucleotide long non-coding RNA is filed under the name Gallus gallus (chicken). RNAcentral describes it as "long non-coding RNA NONGGAT004830". The record is from RNAcentral. Lineage: Eukaryota; Metazoa; Chordata; Aves; Galliformes; Phasianidae.